UAGGGAAUCUUCGGCAAUGGACGAAAGUCUGACCGAGCAACGCCGUGCGAGUGAAGAAGGUUUUCGGAUCGUAAAACUCUGUUGUUAGAGAAGAACAAGGACGUCAGUAACUGAACGUCCCCUGACGGUAUCUAACCAGAAAGCCACGGCUAACUACGUGCCAGCAGCCGCGGUAAUACGUAGGUGGCAAGCGUUGUCCGGAUUUAUUGGGCGUAAAGCGAGCGCAGGCGGUUUCUUAAGUCUGAUGUGAAAGCCCCCGGCUCAACCGGGGAGGGUCAUUGGAAACUGGGAGACUUGAGUGCAGAGGAGGGGAGUGGAAUUCCAUGUGUGGCGGUGAAAUGCGUAGAUAUAUGGAGGAACACCAGUAGCGAAGGCGGCUCUCUGGUCUGUAACUGACGCUGAGGCUCGAAAGCGUGGGGAGCAAACAGG
RNAcentral lists this ribosomal RNA (429 nucleotides) under Gemmatimonadota bacterium. Its description in RNAcentral is "Gemmatimonadetes bacterium partial 16S ribosomal RNA". It matches the Rfam family "Bacterial small subunit ribosomal RNA", at positions 355 to 776 of the family's 1533-position model. The record is from RNAcentral. Lineage: Bacteria; Pseudomonadati; Gemmatimonadota.